UCGAGGAUCUUCGGCAAUGGGCGAAGGCCUGACCGAGCGACGCCGCGUGAGCGAUGAAGGCCAUUAGGUUGUAAAGCUCUGUCGAGGGGGAGCAAGCCGCAAGGUUGAGCGAUCCCUGGAGGAAGCACGGGCUAAGUUCGUGCCAGCAGCCGCGGUAAGACGAACCGUGCGAACGUUGUUCGGAAUCAUUGGGCUUAAAGGGUGCGUAGGCGGGUGUUCAAGUCGGGGGUGAAAGCCUCCAGCUCAACUGGAGAAGCGCCUCGGAUACUGUUCAUCUCGAGAGAGGUAGGGGCACAUGGAACUUCCGGUGGAGCGGUGAAAUGCGUAGAGAUCGGAAGGAACGCCGGUGGCGAAAGCGAUGUGCUGGAUCUUUUCUGACGCUGAGGCAUGAAAGCCAGGGGAGCAAACGGG
This 411-nucleotide ribosomal RNA is filed under the name uncultured bacterium. Its description in RNAcentral is "bacterial SSU rRNA". It matches the Rfam family "Bacterial small subunit ribosomal RNA", at positions 355 to 776 of the family's 1533-position model. The record is from RNAcentral.